RNAcentral lists this transfer RNA (24 nucleotides) under Sibbaldianthe adpressa. Its description in RNAcentral is "partial tRNA-Gly". The record is from RNAcentral. Lineage: Eukaryota; Viridiplantae; Streptophyta; Magnoliopsida; Rosales; Rosaceae.
GCGGGGUAUAGUUUAGUGGUAAAN